ACAAAUCAGGACGCUUAGAGUAUGGCCACAUGAAUGACUCAGCGCAGUAUGAAGUCUUUGUUUUCUUCCGAAAACAAGCUCAAUGAGAGCCAUCGGGGGUAGAUCUAUCUCAUGACGAGUGGUGGAAUACUUUGACUCAUGAGAGAGAAGCUGAGGCGAAGGCGUCUACCUAGAGGGUUUCUGUCGAUCAAGGGCGAGAGUAGGAGUAUCCAACAGGAUUAGAGACCCUGGUAGUUCCUACCUUAAACGAUGCCGACAGGAGUUUGUCAUUUGUUAAUGGCAGAAUCUUUGGAGAAAUCAUAGUUCUUGGGCUCUGGGGGAACUACGACCGCAAGGCUGAAACUUGAAGGAAUUGACGGAAGGGCACACCAGGGGUGGAGCCUGUGGCUUAAUUUGAAUCAACACGGGGAAACUUACCAGGACCAGAUGUUUUUUAUGACUGACAGGCUUCGGGUCUUUCAGGAUAUUGUUUUUGGUGGUGCAUGGCCGUUGGUGGUGCGUGGGUUGACCUGUCUAGCGUUGAUUCAGCUAACGAGCGAGAUUAUCGCCAAUUAUUUACUUUGCCGAAGUCCUUCGGUUAAAGUUCUAAUUGGGACUCCCUGCGAUUUUAGCAGGUGGAAGAGGGUAGCAAUAACAGGUCCGUGAUGCCCUUUAGAUGCUCUGGGCUGCACGCGUGCUACAAUGUUAGGAUCAAUAGGACUGCGAGCCUGAGAGGGUGCGCUACUCUUAUAAUCCCUAACGUAGUUGGGAUUGACGUUUGUAAUCAGCGUCAUGAACCAGGAAUCCCUUGUAAAUGUGUGUCAACAACGCACGUUGAAUACGUCCCUGCCCUUUGUACACACCGCCCGUCGCUCCUACCGAUUGGAUGACUUCGGUGAAAAUCACCGGAUGCUUACGAGCAGAAAAGUGAAUUAAAAUCACG
This 922-nucleotide non-coding RNA is filed under the name Trichomonas vaginalis G3. RNAcentral's name for it is "Eukaryotic small subunit ribosomal RNA". It matches the Rfam family "Eukaryotic small subunit ribosomal RNA", at positions 761 to 1768 of the family's 1831-position model. The record is from Rfam by way of RNAcentral. Lineage: Eukaryota; Parabasalia; Trichomonadida; Trichomonadidae.